AUCUAGCUGACGAAUCCCAAAUAGGACGAAACGCGCGUCAAACUAGAU
This 48-nucleotide non-coding RNA is filed under the name Schistosoma mansoni. The record is from RNAcentral. Lineage: Eukaryota; Metazoa; Platyhelminthes; Trematoda; Strigeidida; Schistosomatidae.